GGCAUAGUGUAAUGGUUUGAAUAUUAGUAUGACUCUGGAGGCCAGGGUUCAAAUCCCUGCUUGGCCA
Phrynosoma platyrhinos (Desert horned lizard) is the source of this 67-nucleotide non-coding RNA. The record is from the annotation of a GenBank genome assembly. Lineage: Eukaryota; Metazoa; Chordata; Lepidosauria; Squamata; Phrynosomatidae.